This 128-nucleotide non-coding RNA is filed under the name Vibrio crassostreae. Its description in RNAcentral is "Glycine". It matches the Rfam family "Glycine riboswitch aptamer". Rfam says of the family: This family represents the bacterial glycine riboswitch. Glycine riboswitches usually consist of two metabolite-binding aptamers domains with similar structures in tandem. Lineage: Bacteria; Pseudomonadati; Pseudomonadota; Gammaproteobacteria; Vibrionales; Vibrionaceae. The record is from RNAcentral.
AUGAAGACUGCAGGAGAGUGGUUUUUAACUAAACUUUAACAUUUAGUUAGAUUGACCCGCCGAAGAAGUAAAUCUUUCAGGUGCUUUAUGCUGGAGAAAUCCAGAAAAGUGAGGACUGUCGUUGGAGG